Molecule: transfer RNA, 77 nt
Filed under: Pseudobdellovibrionaceae bacterium
Lineage: Bacteria; Pseudomonadati; Bdellovibrionota; Bdellovibrionia; Bdellovibrionales; Pseudobdellovibrionaceae
Description: Bdellovibrionaceae bacterium (activated sludge metagenome) tRNA-Arg
Rfam family: tRNA
About the family: Transfer RNA (tRNA) molecules are approximately 80 nucleotides in length. Their secondary structure includes four short double-helical elements and three loops (D, anti-codon, and T loops).
Source: RNAcentral
GCACUCGUAGCUCAGCUGGAUAGAGUACCUGACUACGAAUCAGGUGGUCGGUGGUUCGAAUCCUCCCGAGUGCGCCA